This 433-nucleotide ribosomal RNA is filed under the name uncultured bacterium. Its description in RNAcentral is "partial 16S ribosomal RNA". It matches the Rfam family "Bacterial small subunit ribosomal RNA", at positions 29 to 507 of the family's 1533-position model. The record is from RNAcentral.
AACGAACGCUGGCGGCAUGCCUAACACAUGCAAGUCGAACGAGACCUUCGGGUCUAGUGGCGCACGGGUGCGUAACGCGUGGGAAUCUGCCCUUGGGUUCGGAAUAACAGUUGGAAACGACUGCUAAUACCGGAUGAUGACUUCAGUCCAAAGAUUUAUCGCCCAAGGAUGAGCCCGCGUAGGAUUAGCUAGUUGGUGAGGUAAAGGCUCACCAAGGCGACGAUCCUUAGCUGGUCUGAGAGGAUGAUCAGCCACACUGGGACUGAGACACGGCCCAGACUCCUACGGGAGGCAGCAGUGGGGAAUAUUGGACAAUGGGCGAAAGCCUGAUCCAGCAAUGCCGCGUGAGUGAUGAAGGCCUUAGGGUUGUAAAGCUCUUUUACCCGGGAUGAUAAUGACAGUACCGGGAGAAUAAGCUCCGGCUAACUCCGUG